RNAcentral lists this ribosomal RNA (440 nucleotides) under uncultured bacterium. RNAcentral's name for it is "partial 16S ribosomal RNA". It matches the Rfam family "Bacterial small subunit ribosomal RNA", at positions 338 to 795 of the family's 1533-position model. The record is from RNAcentral.
CCUACGGGAGGCAGCAGUGGGGAAUAUUGCACAAUGGGGGAAACCCUGAUGCAGCGACGCCGCGUGAAGGAAGAAGUAUUUCGGUAUGUAAACUUCUAUCUGCAGGGAAGAAAAUGACUGUACCUGACUACGAAGCCCCGGCUAACUACGUUCCAGCAGCCGCGGUAAUACGUAGGGGGCAAGCGUUAUCCGGAUGUACUGGGUGUAAAGGGAGCGUAGGCGGGGCAGCAAGUCAGGAGUGAAAGCCCGGGGCUCAACUCCGGUAGUGCUUUUGAAACUGGUGAACUAGAUUGCAGGAGAGGUAAGUGGAAUUCGUAGUGUAGCGGUGAAAUGCGUAGAUAUUAGGAGGAACACCAGUGGCGAAGGCGGCUUACUGGACUGUAAAUGACGCUGAGGCUCGAAAGCGUGGGGAGCAAACAGGAUUAGAUACCCUUGUAGUC